ACAGCAGUAGCCGCGGGAAUACAGAGGGUGCGAGCGUUAAUCGGAUUUACUGGGCGUAAAGCGUGCGUAGGCGGCUUUUUAAGUCGGAUGUGAAAUCCCUGAGCUUAACUUAGGAAUUGCAUUCGAUACUGGGAAGCUAGAGUAUGGGAGAGGAUGGUAGAAUUCCAGGUGUAGCGGUGAAAUGCGUAGAGAUCUGGAGGAAUACCGAUGGCGAAGGCAGCCAUCUGGCCUAAUACUGACGCUGAGGUACGAAAGCAUGGGGAGCAAACAGGAUUAGAGACCCCAGUAGUCCCUGUCUCUUAUAC
This 305-nucleotide ribosomal RNA is filed under the name uncultured bacterium. RNAcentral describes it as "partial 16S ribosomal RNA". It matches the Rfam family "Bacterial small subunit ribosomal RNA", at positions 508 to 807 of the family's 1533-position model. The record is from RNAcentral.